This is a long non-coding RNA of Propithecus coquereli (Coquerel's sifaka), 408 nucleotides long. RefSeq lists it as uncharacterized. The record is from RefSeq and is a predicted model, not a curated record. The transcript is spliced from 3 exons. Lineage: Eukaryota; Metazoa; Chordata; Mammalia; Primates; Indriidae.
CAAGGGCCAGUGCAAUGUAUCUUAGGCUCACUUAAGAGGGUUGUAGGGAAAACAAAAAGCCCUUCAGGUGCACCAGUUGUUUGUUGGCUCACUACAAAGGUGUCAUUCAAGUGGCUAAUCAUGUAACAGCAAAAAUGCAUCUAACCAGCAGAAAGAGAAGUGGAGGCUCCAAAGGCACUUGACUACUAAGCAUCACCCUGGAAGUGUACAAGUCCGCGUCCUUAUUGUUUUCUUCGCUGGGUCGAACUUUCUGGUCCUCAUCCAACAGCUCUUCUAUCACGUGUUCAAAAGUGUCAGCCAACGACGUCAGGCCUCUUGAACCUGCCUUGGGCCCAUUCAUGCUCUCCAGAGUCCCAUGGGUCCGCACACCUGGAGAUCCUCUAUUAUAGCAAAGAAGAAAGAUAAUUU